This 301-nucleotide ribosomal RNA is filed under the name uncultured bacterium. Its description in RNAcentral is "partial 16S ribosomal RNA". It matches the Rfam family "Bacterial small subunit ribosomal RNA", at positions 509 to 807 of the family's 1533-position model. The record is from RNAcentral.
CAGCCGCCGCGGCAAUACGGAGGGUGCAAGCGUUAUCCGGAUUUAUUGGGUUUAAAGGGUCCGUAGGCGGAUCUGUAAGUCAGUGGUGAAAUCUCACAGCUUAACUGUGAAACUGCCAUUGAUACUGCAGGUCUUGAGUAAAUUUGAAGUGGCUGGAAUAAGUAGUGUAGCGGUGAAAUGCAUAGAUAUUACUUAGAACACCAAUUGCGAAGGCAGGUCACUAAGAUUUAACUGACGCUGAUGGACGAAAGCGUGGGGAGCGAACAGGAUUAGAUACCCCUGUAGUCCCUGUCUCUUAUAC